AUGGAUAGUGGUAGCCUCAAAGAAGUCCUGGAGCCUGAGGGAUUUGUGGAGAAGAGGAAAGACACUACAAUGAUUCUCAGAGGAGAAGAUGAAUGGGUCUUUGGUUUUCCAUGGGAUAUGGACCUUGAUGGAGUUGGUCAGAUAUUCCAGAGUCAAGGUACCAAUGAAAUGAAAUGGUUUAAGUAUUAGUCUUGUGUUUUAAAUCUGUUAAUGCAAGAUAAUGAAUAUUUUAUGUUUUAAUUUUUUUGAAAGAGAAACUAAAUAGAUGUCUUAUGCCUCAUCUUUAUAUUUUGAAUACUUUUCUAGAGAGGAUCCCAUGAGCCAAAUCCAAACUUUACAGUAUUUUCCAUGGAGUUCGGGGCUGGGGCAUGAAGAACCAGUCAAUGAAAAGAAGAUGCUGGAUCCUUGUCCUUAGAGACCAGUUUCUCCCAGAAUUGGACCUGGAUCUGCUAAACCCAGAACUGGUGCUCCUUAUUGGGGUGGCAACCCUCCAAAUCAGCAUGCCUUUUACAUAUAAAGGACAGUACUAACAUACCAAUUUCUUAUACCUAGAAUAGCCUGAUGCAGGAGGAAAAU
This 576-nucleotide long non-coding RNA is filed under the name Monodelphis domestica (gray short-tailed opossum). Its description in RNAcentral is "lncRNA (ENSMODG00000050022.1)". The record is from RNAcentral. Lineage: Eukaryota; Metazoa; Chordata; Mammalia; Didelphimorphia; Didelphidae.